AUGAAGAGUUUGAUCCUGGCUCAGGAUGAACGCUAGCUACAGGCUUAACACAUGCAAGUCGAGGGGCAGCAUGGUCUUAGCUUGCUAAGGCCGAUGGCGACCGGCGCACGGGUGAGUAACACGUAUCCAACCUGCCGUCUACUCUUGGACAGCCUUCUGAAAGGAAGAUUAAUACAAGAUGGCAUCAUGAGUCCGCAUGUUCACAUGAUUAAAGGUAUUCCGGUAGACGAUGGGGAUGCGUUCCAUUAGAUAGUAGGCGGGGUAACGGCCCACCUAGUCUUCGAUGGAUAGGGGUUCUGAGAGGAAGGUCCCCCACAUUGGAACUGAGACACGGUCCAAACUCCUACGGGAGGCAGCAGUGAGGAAUAUUGGUCAAUGGGCGAGAGCCUGAACCAGCCAAGUAGCGUGAAGGAUGACUGCCCUAUGGGUUGUAAACUUCUUUUAUAAAGGAAUAAAGUCGGGUAUGCAUACCCGUUUGCAUGUACUUUAUGAAUAAGGAUCGGCUAACUCCGUGCCAGCAGCCGCGGUAAUACGGAGGAUCCGAGCGUUAUCCGGAUUUAUUGGGUUUAAAGGGAGCGUAGAUGGAUGUUUAAGUCAGUUGUGAAAGUUUGCGGCUCAACCGUAAAAUUGCAGUUGAUACUGGAUAUCUUGAGUGCAGUUGAGGCAGGCGGAAUUCGUGGUGUAGCGGUGAAAUGCUUAGAUAUCACGAAGAACUCCGAUUGCGAAGGCAGCCUGCUAAGCUGCAACUGACAUUGAGGCUCGAAAGUGUGGGUAUCAAACAGGAUUAGAUACCCUGGUAGUCCACACGGUAAACGAUGAAUACUCGCUGUUUGCGAUAUACAGCAAGCGGCCAAGCGAAAGCGUUAAGUAUUCCACCUGGGGAGUACGCCGGCAACGGUGAAACUCAAAGGAAUUGACGGGGGCCCGCACAAGCGGAGGAACAUGUGGUUUAAUUCGAUGAUACGCGAGGAACCUUACCCGGGCUUAAAUUGCAGAUGAAUUACGGUGAAAGCCGUAAGCCGCAAGGCAUCUGUGAAGGUGCUGCAUGGUUGUCGUCAGCUCGUGCCGUGAGGUGUCGGCUUAAGUGCCAUAACGAGCGCAACCCUUGUUGUCAGUUACUAACAGGUCAUGCUGAGGACUCUGACAAGACUGCCAUCGUAAGAUGUGAGGAAGGUGGGGAUGACGUCAAAUCAGCACGGCCCUUACGUCCGGGGCUACACACGUGUUACAAUGGGGGGUACAGAGGGCCGCUACCACGCGAGUGGAUGCCAAUCCCAAAAACCUCUCUCAGUUCGGACUGGAGUCUGCAACCCGACUCCACGAAGCUGGAUUCGCUAGUAAUCGCGCAUCAGCCACGGCGCGGUGAAUACGUUCCCGGGCCUUGUACACACCGCCCGUCAAGCCAUGGGAGCCGGGGGUACCUGAAGUGCGUAACCGCGAGGAGCGCCCUAGGGUAAAACUGGUGACUGGGGCUAAGUCGUAACAAGGUAGCCGUACCGGAAGGUGCGGCUGGAACACCUCCUUU
This 1525-nucleotide ribosomal RNA is filed under the name Phocaeicola vulgatus. RNAcentral describes it as "bacterial SSU rRNA". It matches the Rfam family "Bacterial small subunit ribosomal RNA". Lineage: Bacteria; Pseudomonadati; Bacteroidota; Bacteroidia; Bacteroidales; Bacteroidaceae. The record is from RNAcentral.